AGUGAACGCUGGCGGUAGGCCUAACACAUGCAAGUCGAACGGCAGCACAGUAAGAGCUUGCUCUUACGGGUGGCGAGUGGCGGACGGGUGAGGAAUACAUCGGAAUCUACUUUUUCGUGGGGGAUAACGUAGGGAAACUUACGCUAAUACCGCAUACGACCUACGGGUGAAAGCAGGGGAUCUUCGGACCUUGCGCGAUUGAAUGAGCCGAUGUCGGAUUAGCUAGUUGGCGGGGUAAAGGCCCACCAAGGCGACGAUCCGUAGCUGGUCUGAGAGGAUGAUCAGCCACACUGGAACUGAGAGACGGUCCAGACUCCUACGGGAGGCAGCAGUGGGGAAUAUUGGACAAUGGGCGCAAGCCUGAUCCAGCCAUACCGCGUGGGUGAAGAAGGCCUUCGGGUUGUAAAGCCGUUUUGUUGGGAAAGAAAAGCAGCAGGUUAAUACCCCGCUGUUCUGACGGUACCCAAAGAAUAAGCACCGGCUAACUUCGUG
RNAcentral lists this ribosomal RNA (492 nucleotides) under uncultured bacterium. RNAcentral describes it as "partial 16S ribosomal RNA". It matches the Rfam family "Bacterial small subunit ribosomal RNA", at positions 29 to 507 of the family's 1533-position model. The record is from RNAcentral.